RNAcentral lists this ribosomal RNA (460 nucleotides) under uncultured bacterium. Its description in RNAcentral is "partial 16S ribosomal RNA". It matches the Rfam family "Bacterial small subunit ribosomal RNA", at positions 355 to 827 of the family's 1533-position model. The record is from RNAcentral.
UGGGGAAUAUUGCACAAUGGGCGAAAGCCUGAUGCAGCGACGCCGCGUGCGGGAUGAAGGCCUUCGGGUUGUAAACCGCUUUUAAUUGGGAGCAAGCGAGAGUGAGUGUACCUUUUGAAUAAGCACCGGCUAACUACGUGCCAGCAGCCGCGGUAAUACGUAGGGUGCAAGCGUUAUCCGGAAUUAUUGGGCGUAAAGAGCUCGUAGGCGGUUUGUCACGCCUGGUGUGAAAGUCCAUCGCUUAACGGUGGAUCUGCGCCGGGUACGGGCAGGCUAGAGUGCAGUAGGGGAGAUUGGAAUUCCCGGUGUAACGGUGGAAUGUGUAGAUAUCGGGAAGAACACCAAUGGCGAAGGCAGAUCUCUGGGCUGUUACUGACGCUGAGGAGCGAAAGCAUGGGGAGCGAACAGGAUUAGAUACCCUGGUAGUCCAUGCCGUAAACGGUGGAUGCCUGGAUGUGGG